CAAUGUCGUUGUAUCUGCUUCUGCUUCACACACUCGCUAAUUGGGGCUUGUGAUUGGAGCUCCUAAGUUCUGAGUUAUGCAGGUCAAGCGCCCCUUGAUUUGAGUUUCUUGCCACUAUUUUUCCCCUAAUUUAACUCUAUUUCAUAGAUUUUUUUCUUAAAUUUUAUUUCCUUUAGGUUUAGCCUAUUGAUUUUGGUUGUUCAUAUUACUGAAUUAAACUUGAAUGCUUAACUGUGUAGUGCCCCUGAUUUGAUGAUUUUAUAUUAUUAUGGGAUAGAAAUAAAAAUUUUAAAAUAGAACAGCCAAAAGAGUGAUUGACAUAAACCAGAAUUUUGAUAUAGCAGCACAAUGCUAUCAAUGAUGUGCAGUUGAAUUAGUAUUGCAAGUACUUGAAUGUUCAAGGGUUGAUUUGUUGUAUUCUUUUAUGCUAUCUGCUACAUGAUGCUUAGGAAAAACCUCGAUUGCCAUUUGUUCUGUCUUUCGUUCUGAUUUUGAUGUUGUUUCUCUACUGGUCUUAUUUUCUUGUUGCAAGAAUACUUCGCCGGUUUGCACUUGUAUGCAGGGGUUUAGGCCUAAGAACCAAGAAGUUUGGAACUUAAGAGAUGGGUCUGAUGGGUGUGUGAGAAACACAUGUUUGAAUUGUUCGACUGACAAGUUCUUGCAUCUUGAGAACAUGAAGCUGCCAAAGACAAGCAGCGUGUUUAUGAAUAAGAGUAUGACACUUGAUGAAUGUGGCAGUCUGUGUAAGAGGAAUUGUUCAUGCACUGCAUAUGCAAACAUUGAUAUCAGAAAUGGAAGAAGUGGCUGUGUUAUGUGAAUUGGUCAACUCUUUGACAUGAGUGUCUACCGUACGGAUGGCCAAGAUGUCUAUGUCGUCAGAUUGGCUGCAACUGAUAUAGGUAUCUCUCUAUCCAUCUAUUAUCUAUCUCUCCAUGAGGUGUUAUAGUUGUAGCAAAAAUAAUCAAAAGAAAGGGAAAUAUGAUACAUUAAGUUAUGAAUAUGUGAGGUCAAGUUUGUUAUGUGUUUCAUCUGUAAUGUGUUAUAUUUAAUUAUAAUACGUUAGUAAAAAAUUAUUAAAAAUAAUCAUUUGAAUCACAUUAGUAAUUUUUUGGAGAUUAACUUGAAGUAUUAAAUCUUACAAAAGGUCAAUUUGAGCACUAAUUCAAUAUUAAAUUUUAAUUGGUUUUAAUUGACUUUUCAGUGAAGGGGUUUUAAGUUUUUUAUCCAAUAACUAUAUUGAAAUUAUUACUAAUUGCUCAAUUAAAUCCUUUGGUUUCAAAAUAAUACAAUUGCCUAAAUAAUCACAUAUAAUUGUUAUAACAUGAAUAUUAAAUAGUAGUGGUUAUGCACAUUUUUGCUAAGAUAAUGAUAUUGCAAGUUCCUUCCUCAUUGAUUAAGUAUUUAAAGUGGAGUUCUUUCCGAUCAAUUUGGUGACACACAGGAUUUACUAGCUCCAACAAGAAUCAUAGAGUAGUACAGGCUAUUGGCAUCACAUUUAGUGCACUUGUUUUAGUUUUUUGAUUGGUUGCUAUUUGUUACUUAUGGAAGAAGGCAAAACAAAGAUCUAGAGGUAAUGUACAAUAAUCUCUCUCAUAUGAAUGCUUAUGUAUAGUAUGGUACUGAAUUGUAUAUCAAUAGCCGCUAUUUCAGGUUUUGUCCAUAGAAAUCAUGAUUGGUUAAUGAAUGAGGUGGUGCCUUCUAGAAGAUACUUGAGUGAUGAAAGGAACAUGGAUGAUCUAGAGUUGCCAAUGUUUGAUUUUGAUACCUUAAUGAUGGCUACAAACAAUUUCUCUUAAGAUAAUAAACUUGGAGAAGGAGGCUUCGAUAGUGUUUAUAGGUGUAGAUUAAUUGAAGGCCAAGAAAUUGCUGUGAAAAGAUUGUCAGAAGACUCUGGACAAGGAAUUGAAGAAUUUCAAAAUGAAGUCAAAUCAAUUGUCAAGCUGCAACACCGAAAUCUUGUUCGGUUGCUUGGUUGCUGCAUUAAGAAAAAUGAGAUGUUGGUGUAUAAAUAUAUGGAAAAUAGAGGCCUUGAUUCCAUUUUAUUUGGUAACUUGCAUUAUUUACUUAGAUUUUUUUAUUUUGGCAAUAAUUGUAAAAUUGGCCUCAGUUCCUAACUUCCUAUGCUUCAAAUAGAUGUCAUUCGAUUUGUUUUGGGUAGAUGAUUCAAAUUAUGAUGAUUACCAAAGUAAUUUUGUUGAAAGGUUUCAUGCUA
Long non-coding RNA from Arachis stenosperma, 2212 nucleotides. RefSeq lists it as uncharacterized. The record is from RefSeq and is a predicted model, not a curated record. The transcript has 2 exons. NCBI's taxonomy places the organism in Eukaryota, Viridiplantae, Streptophyta, Magnoliopsida, Fabales, Fabaceae.